This is a non-coding RNA of Podarcis lilfordi (Lilford's wall lizard), 72 nucleotides long. The record is from the annotation of a GenBank genome assembly. Lineage: Eukaryota; Metazoa; Chordata; Lepidosauria; Squamata; Lacertidae.
AGGGCUGUAGCUUAGUAGUAUAAUGUCUGCUUUGUAUGCAGAAGGCAUGAGGUUCAAUCCCUGGUAGGACUG